UUGGAAAGUAAAAAAGCGUAACAAGGUCUCCGUUGGUGAACCAGCGGAGGGAUCAUUACCGAGUUUACAACUCCCAAACCCCUGUGAACAUACCACUUGUUGCCUCGGCGGAUCAGCCCGCUCCCGGUAAAACGGGACGGCCCGCCAGAGGACCCCUAAACUCUGUUUCUAUAUGUAACUUCUGAGUAAAACCAUAAAUAAAUCAAAACUUUCAACAACGGAUCUCUUGGUUCUGGCAUCGAUGAAGAACGCAGCAAAAUGCGAUAAGUAAUGUGAAUUGCAGAAUUCAGUGAAUCAUCGAAUCUUUGAACGCACAUUGCGCCCGCCAGUAUUCUGGCGGGCAUGCCUGUUCGAGCGUCAUUUCAACCCUCAAGCACAGCUUGGUGUUGGGACUCGCGUUAAUUCGCGUUCCUCAAAUUGAUUGGCGGUCACGUCGAGCUUCCAUAGCGUAGUAGUAAAACCCUCGUUACUGGUAAUCGUCGCGGCCACGCCGUUAAACCCCAACUUCUGAAUGUGACCUCGAUCAGUAGAU
This 532-nucleotide ribosomal RNA is filed under the name Fusarium sp. YXN18. RNAcentral describes it as "eukaryotic LSU rRNA". The stretch from base 207 to 360 matches the Rfam family "5.8S ribosomal RNA". Lineage: Eukaryota; Fungi; Ascomycota; Sordariomycetes; Hypocreales; Nectriaceae. The record is from RNAcentral.